This 230-nucleotide ribosomal RNA is filed under the name uncultured bacterium. RNAcentral's name for it is "partial 16S ribosomal RNA". It matches the Rfam family "Bacterial small subunit ribosomal RNA", at positions 99 to 334 of the family's 1533-position model. The record is from RNAcentral.
CGGACGGGUGAGUAAUGCUGGGAAACUGCCCGAUGGAGGGGGAUAACUACUGGAAACGGUAGCUAAUACCGCAUAACGUCGCAAGACCAAAGAGGGGACCUUCGGGCCUCUUGCCAUCGGAUGUGCCCAGAUGGGAUUAGCUAGUAGGUGGGGUAACGGCUCACCUAGGCGACGAUCCCUAGCUGGUCUGAGAGGAUGACCAGCCACACUGGAACUGAGACACGGUCCAG